AACCUUCCCAGAACAGGUGAAUAGCCUUUCGAAAGAGAGAUUAAUACACCGUAAGAUAUAGUAGUGGCAUCAUUAUUAUAUUAUAGGCCGCAAGGUUGGUUUUGGAUGGGCGUGCGCCUGAUUAGGUAGUUGGUGCGGGUAACGGCCCACCAAGCCUCCGAUCAGUAACUGGUGUGAGAGCACGACCAGUCACACGGGCACUGAGACACGGGCCCGACUCCUACGGGAGGCAGCAGUAAGGAAUAUUGGUCAAUGGACGAAAGUCUGAACCAGCCAUGCCGCGUGCAG
This 288-nucleotide ribosomal RNA is filed under the name uncultured bacterium. RNAcentral describes it as "partial 16S ribosomal RNA". It matches the Rfam family "Bacterial small subunit ribosomal RNA", at positions 123 to 406 of the family's 1533-position model. The record is from RNAcentral.